UUCAUUCAACCAAUAUCUGUGUGAUUACUAUACACCAGGAACUGUGCUCAUCAUAGGGAGUGAAACAGUGAGUGACGAUAUUUCAGCCAGCAUGGAGCUUACAGUCAAGUUAAGGAUAUAGACCUUAGGCAAAUAAUCACAUAAAUAAAUAUUAAUUUAUAAACUUGAACAUCUAAGAUGAGAUAAAUGAUGCUGUGAGAGAAUAUAACAGCAGUAAAUGUCCUUAUCCAAGAUUUCUGUGAAUAAAUAAUGAAGAAAUUAUAAAUUAAAAUUACUGUCUGGUUCUCUCUUCUAUGGAUUCUUGAAUCCUCUUCCCCUGUAAAAUUGCAUACAAAUUUUAUGUAACUAUGUAUUAUUCUAGUAACAGAUUUGCAAAGGGUCCAUGACCCCAAAUUUUGCACAAUGUCAAUCCUGUAGAAAGCAAUGCCAUGUAUAUUAACUGCCUCCUACAUAUGCCUUAUCUAUAGAUCCCUGUUUAUAGAAUUAUUAGCAUUUUUCUUUUGAAUCUCAUAUCGUUUAGUUUAGUGUUAGACAUAGGCUCAUCACUUAACAAAUGUUUUUCUCCCCAUUUUCAGCCUAAGUAUCUUUUUAGGAACUCAGACUCUCAAAAACAAAUUUUAAAAAUGACUUUCUUUAUUGAAUAAAAAAGAGUCUUUUUUGCAGUUGUAGGUAGAGUGAAAAUGAUUAUCUGGGUUUUGUUUAGGUACCGGGAAAACAGGAACAAAAAGGGAUUUGCAUGUUAAAACCUGCUCUUGCUAGGCUAGUGCCCAGCAAUUGUCGCUACAUUUCUUCGGAGCUCUGUUUCUUCAAUGACCUAGCACUUUAAUUCUGGGAACUCCCUGCUGCUUCCCCAUGCCCAAACCUUAGCUAUCCUUAUAUGUUAACAGGUAAAAGCAGAAAAUAUUCAUUUCAUACACACAAAAAAAAACAAAAGCUGAUUACUUAAUCAAUUAUUCUGACCAAUUUAAAAGAAAAACAGAAUGGAAAAUUAAAAUUUCAUUUCAAAUGCCACUGGGAAAUAUUUGUGACUAAGUAUAUAUACACAUUGAAAGUAAAUGUUAUAUAUGUAGACUAAAAAACAAACAUGUAUUUAUAUUUACUAGAAGUAAAUAUGCUUUCAAUAUGUAUAUUUAUAAAUGCAUUUUAUGUUACAGAUAAAUGUAUAUAGGCCACAAUUUCUAACUGACAUCAAUACCUUUAGAAAAUAAUAAAAUAAAUAAGAUUAUACCAGAUACCAAUAUAUUUCUAAGGUAUUGUUAAAAAGGUAAUAAUUUGAACAACUUGUACUUGAAUCUCAGGUCCGAAAGACCUGAAGUAAUUGUGCGAAAUAUACAUAAAAAAAAAUCACAGAAAAAUAUUAAUACAAUAAUUAAAUUGUUUAAUCAAGGGGCACAAAAAGCUUCAAGUUAAUUCAACUACUCAAUAUCUAUCAAAGAUCAAAAAGGGAAAAAGACAUAUAAUUCCAUAUUCUCAUUUCACACUUUCUUAAACUUCAAGAUCUGAGUCUCAAAGAGAGGUUGUUACUGGGAUAUGCUGAACAGAUGACACCAUAUGCGUACAUCAAUAUUUUAAUAGACUUCCAUUCUUGAAUGGUCCAGAGACCAAACACCAAAUUUUAAAAAUUUAUUUCCUUUUCCCAUAGGCUGACAACUCUUUUGCCCCUGUACUCCUGUUUAGCACUUCCACAACAGGUAUGCAGAUAAAGGGAGAGGAAGUUAGAUACAAAUACUGUUGGUACUUAAUAACAAUUCAGGUAUAAAGUUUGAUAUAGUAAUUUAAAUCCAUAGUUCAUCCUCAAAGAAAGACUGGAAUUAUGGGUCCUUAUUGAUGGCCUUCCUUUUUUGUUAGCAUAUAUGACAAAUGUAUGCUAAGUGGUAUAUGUUAGAAACUCAGUCUCAGAGAUGACUUUAAGAAGGUAGCACUAGAUACAAAAUUACUUUCCGUACAGGGAAUGAUGACAAGGAUUGAAAGAGUAUAAGGUAAUCUAAUUUUGUCAUCUAUUGCUUUUACUUUUUAGGAUUUGAAGCUGAGAUCAAAGUUUCCUAAUAUUCUGUCCUUCCAGGAACGUCAUACUUCCACAGACACUGUCAAAAAUUCUCAUGCCAACUUUACUCUUUCUUCUGCUGAUUCAGUGCAAGUAAAGGAAAAAUGAUUUUAAUGUAAACAUGGAUGAUUUUGAUUUAGCUCCCAUUUUUAAGUAAAUAAAGCAUCUUAAUUAUUAAGGGCAAAUUAUCUGUUACCCACUUUAUGAGUAAUGAAGACUGACCAAUAUGUUGAUAUUCCUAAGUGGACAGUUGCUGGACACAAACAAUUAACACUAACUUGCCUAUUCUAAUCAAAGAACUAAAGAACUGAAAAAUGAAAUAGUAAUUAGCCAUUUAGUUCUAUAUUGUACAACUCCUCUGUCUGGGAGCUCUCACAUGCAAUGAAAGGCUACUCUAAUUUUUCUUUCCUUACCUACUGACACUUUUAGCCAGGGUGAGGAGGAUGAAGGCAGCAGUAACUAUAGAAGAAAGGAGAUAGGCUGAUAAAUAUGGUGGGGGAGGUUUCACAUGUGUAUUAUACGUAUCAUGUGAUUGUGGAUGAAUGCCACAGCAGAAAUAAUGUCAAGAGGCCAGGAAAAUGGCAGCCACACUAUCCCCUAGAAGGCUCAAUGAGCUGUCACUGACCAGAAACAAUUCACUGAAAGCAGUGGGAUAGGACUUAAAUGUUUUUACUUCACUUCGCUGUCAGCCCAAGCACAGAAUUUUUCAAAUGUGAUUCAUACUUGGGUUGCUUUCAUUAUGCAAAUAAAACAACCCAAGAAUUUUUCACUAACAAAGGAUUUUUUAAUUGGCAUAGUAAAUCCUUCCCCCACCACUGCACUCCCUCCUCCUCACCACUACCACCACCCUUAAGCCAAUGCACUCCUCCAAUGACUUUGAUUAAGCCUUUUGUAGAAUUAUGAACUUGGAGAGCUUUUUAAAGGAGAAAGAGAUUGAACGCCAGGUGGGACUUAGCCAGAGCUGUCACAGCUCUGGUUGUUACCCCUCAUAAUCCAUCUUGUUGAAUCAAAAAGCAAACUGUGAACAAACAGCUUAGGCAGUUUGUUUGAAGAUACACUCCUGUCUUUCUAGGAGGGAUUAAGUCAUGGCUACAGUUUGUUUGGAAAAUGAUUAUCCACAUGAAAAUUAUUAAAUUCAUGUGGCAGCUCUUUGAGCCAAAACAACUUUUCACCUCUGUAUCAUGGUGACAGUAAUGCUGUAGUUUCUAUACCAAAACACAGACCUUUCCACAGGCUUUCAAAAUGUUGUCCCUUUUUUUUGCAUUUGCCACAAGAAUACAGAAGACGUUGGCUUUCAAACUUUUAAAUAAUAAGGAUUCGAGCUCUGCCUUUAAAGAGGAAUCAUAGCAAUACCAGAUGUAGAGAAAAGGGGAUUAUUUUCAACAUUUAUUCCAAACACUGGGCUCCAUAAAAGCUACAUUCAUGCCCUGCAGCAACAGGGGAGACAGAUUAGGUGGUUGAGAGCCUGAGCAAGAAAGGAAGAAUAAAGGCAACUCUGUGAUACAUCAGAAGUAAAGUGUUUUUUCCCUUAGAGUGUAGAAUAGAAUGAUGUUAAAAUUUUGUUGUGGUAAAUGAAUCUAAACCUUGGAAUGCAGUAUAAUCUCUUUAAAUACCUAAGUAAUCACCCUCUUUUAUAUCAUCAAAUAUUGCAUUUUUGAUAUUCAAGGUAUUUUGGUAUUCAGGCUAACUCCUGAAUUAAGGUGAGUAGGAGGAGGGGUAGGGGGGUGGUUAUUCAACAAACACUAAAUGUUUGCUAUGUAUCAGGCAACAUGGCAGGUCUUGGAUAAAAAGGCUUAAUAUUAAACACUGGCCCUCUCUUCUUGCACUCAUAGUCUAGUAAGAGAGACAGACGUGUAAACAAUAGAUUACUAUCCACUGUGAUAAAGAACACAAUAGAAGGGUAACCAUUAUAUUGAAUAAGCGAACUCCAUAGGAUACAGGCAAUAAAAUACCCAAACAAACAACUUCAUUCAUUCCCCUUGAAAACCCUUUAUAAACAAUCUGCAGACACACUUUUUUCUCUUGUUCUUCAAAGAAAAUGCUGGGUGACGGAAGGUCCCAUAAUUUUCUUAGACAUUCUUCUUUAAGUAACCUGUAGUGCCAAGAAUAAUCUAGCUAGUAAUUAAAAUGUCUAGUCCAGUUUAAUAAUCAAAACAUCAGUUUCAUUUAAAGGUAAAACUUCUUUCCUACACCAACUGGUAGUUGUUUCAGGCUAGGAGACUUAAAAUGGAGGAGAAGGGUAUGGUCUUCUUUCUCUCUAUUUCUGCCCUUGCAUUUUCUUACCCAUCCAACUUCCAUCCCCACACACAAAAUCACUUCUGCUUUGGUCAGAGAUGGUACUAGGCAAAGAGAGGAGAAGGAAGCAUCAGUCUUAACUUGACUAGCAUUAUUAGAAUUUGAACAAAGUAAAUUCUUCACCUAAUAAGGAAUAUCUAUUCCACAAAAUUAAUGGAACACCAAUUACAUUUUAAGCACUGUUAUGAACACCGAGGACACAUAAUUUAAAAAAAAAAAAUCAAAGCCCCUGAUUUCAUGGACAUUAUAGUCUAGUAGAAGCUAUAAGUCAACAUGCAAUAUGUUUAAUAUAUAUGUUACAUACUAAGUUGUAUGUAAAAUAAAAUGUUAAUUAUGUAUAAAAUAUGCCAGAUGGUAACAAGUGCUAUAGAAAAAAAAUUAAACAGCAAAAGGCAGUAAGCAGCAUGAAAAGUUAGAUGUAUUUUACUGAGGGAAAUCAGAAGAGCUUUUUCUAAUAAGGUGAUAUUUGAGCAGAGAUCCAAAAAUCACAGAAGGAUUUAAGCCAAGAAAAUAUCAGAGUAAAGAGCAUUCCAGCCUGAGAGAAUAAUAACUACAAAGGCCCUGAGGUAGGCAAAUGCUUAGGAUUUUCAAAGAACAGCAAGAAGGCCAGUAGUAUGGCUACAGCAGAACAAGCAAAGGAAAGAAAGUUGGAAAUGAGGCCUCAGAAACAGAAGAAACUUAGAUAAACGUAAUGUAUGCAGAGGCAUACUGACUUUUUUCUGAGUUAAAAAAAGGACCUCUUGGAUGUUUUUGAGCAGAGAAGUAAAAUAAUAGAAUGUAUUAUUUUAAACAUAUCAAUCUAGCUUCAAGGAGGAGAAUAGAAGGUAAGGCAUUGGAAUAGGAAGACAACUGAAAGAUUACUAGAAAAAUUUAGGCAAGAGAUAAUGGUGGCUUGAACCACAAAGACUGAGUAGGAAUUAAACAAAAUGCAUUAGACAGAUUCUGGAUAUACUACAAAAGAUUUAACAAUGGACAAAUUAUGAGAAUGAGAUGAAAAAUAAAAAGUCAAAGCUAACUGCAAAGUUUGUGACCUGAGAAACUCUAAGAAGGAAUAUGACUCAUAGAAAUAGGGGGAAAUGUGAGAAGGUAAGGUUUAAUUUAAAAAAGCAAGU
This 5451-nucleotide long non-coding RNA is filed under the name Sus scrofa (pig). Its description in RNAcentral is "lncRNA (ENSSSCG00000062661.1)". Lineage: Eukaryota; Metazoa; Chordata; Mammalia; Artiodactyla; Suidae. The record is from RNAcentral.